Lontra canadensis (Northern American river otter) is the source of this 169-nucleotide long non-coding RNA. RefSeq lists it as uncharacterized. The record is from RefSeq and is a predicted model, not a curated record. NCBI's taxonomy places the organism in Eukaryota, Metazoa, Chordata, Mammalia, Carnivora, Mustelidae. The transcript has 3 exons.
UCUCUGGUUCACAAAACCCUUCAGCGAUAAUCCUCUUUUAUUUUCCUGAACUUCUGAACUCCUCCAGAGUCUUUUCCCUCCGGUCUUUGGCAAUCGGCCUUGGAUUCCUUUAUCUGCCCUUGGCCCGGCUGAAACUUCUGCCCACGGAGACAGCUGACCGAGGACCGCC